AUCAAAGAUAGGACUACCAUCCAAUUGUUUGUUUAUUUAUUUAAUUACUCAAAACACACAUUUUACCCAUACUGGUUUUUCACUUCGGGUAUUUUCUGUUACAGUCAUUACUCAUUUAAGGGUCUCAGCAGGCGAAAAUCAUGAGUAACUGCACAGGCUCUCUAUGCUACUGUGGAAUAGAGAUGGGAAAAUGGCUCUCAGGUAGUGUGUGUGUAUGGACUCUAUUGGUAAAUACUAGAAUAGCCUGUGUGUGUGUGUGUGUGUGUGUGUGUGUGUGUGUGUGUGUGUGUGCGUGCGUGCAUGCACGUGUCUGCGUGUGCGCGGGUGUCUGCUCUCAUAAGUCUUGUGGUAUAUCAUUAGAGUCACAGUACCCUGAGUGAAUGGUUCUAGAUAGGUAGAUGGGAACAUUGUGGUGUUUGCAAAGAAUUCUGUGCUAAAGGGAACCAGUACAUGAACAUUUAAAAUCAACAUCUAGUCACAAUACAGAUACGAUGUGACUAGAAGUACUUCUGAGCCUGGAGAAACUCAAUUUCUGAGAAAUUGGUGGCUAACCCUAGGGCCAAUCUAUCAACUAAUCAAUAAACCAAUCAAUGAAUUAAAGGGUACUAUGUGUUUGUUACAGGGCUUGAUAUGUGAGAGCAACACACUGGAGACUCCACACUGUAAGCGUGUAAGCCCAGCACCUUAUUACUUUCACAUAUCCAGUCCAGUCCAAUUCAAUGUGUCAGUGCGUGUGCCUGUGUGUCGUACAUGAGCAUGUGUGUGUGUGUGUGUGUGUGUGUAGGUGUGUAUAUGUCUUGUGUGUAUUUGGGCAUUUGAAAAAAACAUAUUCGAUUAAACGUCCAGUUAACCAGUCAGAUUAUCCUUGGGGAGAGUCCCUGGCACCUUGACCUCUGCAGCAGAGGUCAAUCCUAAAGGUUGAAGGCAGAAGGGGAGGGGCCACACACAAUGGCUGUUUCACCCUGAGAGCCAUUCCUCCUCUUAACCACCCAUCCUGUUCAGCAGUUCUCUGCCUGCCUUUCUCCGUCUUUUCUCUCCAUUUCUCUCCUCUUUAUUGGAAAUUGAUUGUCUUCUACCAUCACAAUGACACUUGGUUCUGAUUGAUUGGCAGGUAAGGGAAGAGGGAGAGAACAUUUUGUACUAGGGCUGAGAGAGCGCUGGGACUCUCCUGCACUCCGGAGCAAAAAUGGAUGCCUUACAUUAUAUACAUGAGCCUACUUCAGUAGCCUGAGUGCCAGUCUGUUUCUGCAUUAGCCAACACUUUUAUCUUAGCUUUGGUGAAUGCAAAAACAGUCAGGCAGCCAGGGCACUACUUCAGGACAGUGCUAGUUUGAGAGAUACACACAGGUGCCUUCAAUUCAACAACAUGAAACAAGCAGUGAAUACACAUGAAAUAAUACAGAGAAAAGACCAAAAGAUCCCCAUCAUCCCUCACUAGCACACAUCAGGACAGGGUUACAAACACAACAACAGACACAACAGACCAGGAAGAAAGACAGAGUCGGGGAGGAGGAGACAACACAUACAGUACAUACACACAACACAUACACAACCAGCACAAACAAAAUAACAUCUGAAAGGAAAGAAAGCAUCACAUGGCAUCACCCCUUUUCUUAACUUCUCUUUUCCAGCCCCAGUCGUUCUUUCCUUUUCUCGCCCUCUCCUUUACCCGGGAGUACAUUUCAUCCUGCAGUUUCUAUACAGCUAUAUAAUAUCCAUGCAUAUAAGAAUCGCUCGCGUCGCCCCUGACAACAGAGGUGCUCUGGUGGGUUGGUUCUCUGUUUAAUAUGGGGAUCACUUGAACACACACAGGAGGCAGUUGGCUAACAAAGCUGUAGUUUUUAAGAAAAUAAAUAUGAAAAGAAAAAAAGGAACACUAUUUGUCCACAAUGUGUUAUCGUUGGUUUUCAAAUUAACAUUUUUUUUUUUUUACUAUCCUGUAUUUUUUUCCAUUCUUUAGUCCUAUACCCUGAUGUUACCCUACAUACUGGAAGUUACCUAUACACCUCCACCCUAGAUUUCUUACAACCUACCACCCUUCCCCUCACACCAUUCUUUAUGCGCUAGAACACUUUCACCAUCCUUCCCCUAUGGCCUUAAACCCACCCUACCUCCCUUAUUCUUGACCCUACAACUCUUACACCCUACACUUCCCCUCUACCCAUAAUCCUAUCUUCUUACACCAUACCGCCCUCACAGCUUACCUCCUUUCCCCUCUGCCCUACAGCCCUACCACAUUACUUCACCGAUUCUUUCCACAACUCGUCAGCUUUUACCUUCUAUCUUUCCCACAUUCUUCUUUACCCAUCCCAUUACUUUUAGCUACAGUCAGUCUCCCUCAUCACAGGAUACAGAGGAAUAAAUCAAUAAAUCAACAAAACGUAUCAAACAGUAAAAAGGCUUCUAGUACAUAUUCUCCAUGAAUAAAAACAAUUAUUUUAGCAGUGACUCAUGACUCUCAUUGCUAAUAACGUUGUUAUUGUUUCACUACGUAACCUUUAUAUUAAAGAUUUGAGGUAUAUUGGGAUGAAAUGUCUACACAUGCCUGCCUAGUUGUCAAGCUAGCCGGGACAGGGGAUAGGUGAAGAGGGUUAGAGCCGGGACAGGGGAUAUGUGAAGAGGGUUAGAGCCGGGACAGGGGAUAGGUGAAGAGGGUUAGAGCCGGGACAGGGGAUAGGUGAAGAGGGUUAGAGCCGGGACAGGGGAUAGGUGAAGAGGGUUAGAGUGGAGUGCGGUGGAACACUGUAUGUUUUUGGGGAUAGCUGAUUGGCCAUUGAUUUACCCCAAUGCUAGCCAGUUAAAGAGAGAUAUCUGAGGGUGUGGUUUUGAAUCACAGAAAGUGCAGACCCAUCACGUGGCACACUCACACUCCCGCUAUAAAUUACAUAAAAAUAUCUCUGGUAGGAGUGUGUGUGUGACAAAAUACAGACACACCUCAAUACCUGGGGCACAUUAACAUCCGACUGCAAGCACACAUACACACUUGCACGCACUGGCACUCACACACACACACACACAAACACGUGCACAAACACAGGCUCUCUGUUGAUCAAACCAACACCACCCAUGUCAAAUAUGUCAAAUGUGUCUCAUUCAAUGACCCAUGUGAUCAUUUGGUUAAGGUAAGAAUUAAUAAAUAAUAGGAGUAAUAAAAUGUACAAAACAAAGUGCUUUUUGAAUUCCAAUGGGAGUUGAUUCUAAGCUUGUGUAUACCGUUCCAUCCUGUAUGUGCCCCCUACACCUUGGCAUGCGUUUAAUGAGGUGUGUGUCUGUGCACAUUUGUACUUCUGUGCAUGUCUGUUUGUGCAUGUGUGUGUUCAGAGCAGUCCAACCCGUGGUUGAAGGAAAAAGGCACUCAACUCUGUCUGCAUAGCUACCACCUCCCUGUGGUCAAUAUACAGUGCAACUGCUCUGUGUGCGGGUUUAUGAUUUACAGUGUGUGUGUGUGUGUGUGUGUGUGUGUGUGUGUGUGUGUGUGUGUGUGUGUGUGUGUG
This 3494-nucleotide long non-coding RNA is filed under the name Salmo salar (Atlantic salmon). Its description in RNAcentral is "lncRNA (ENSSSAG00000104562.1)". The record is from RNAcentral. Lineage: Eukaryota; Metazoa; Chordata; Actinopteri; Salmoniformes; Salmonidae.